AGUGAACGCUGGCGGUAGGCCUAACACAUGCAAGUCGAACGGCAGCACAGUAAGAGCUUGCUCUUACGGGUGUCGAGUGGCGGACGGGUGAGGUAUACAUCGGAAUCUACUUUUUCGUGGGGGCUAACGUAGGGAAACUUACGCUAAUACCGCAUACGACCUACGGGUGAAAGCAGGGGAUCUUCGGACCUUGCGCGAUUGAAUGAGCCGAUGUCGGAUUAGCUAGUUGGCGGGGUAAAGGCACACCAAGGCGACGAUCCGUAGCUGGUCUGAGAGGAUGAUCAGACACACUGGAGCUGAGACACGGUCCAGACUCCGACGGGAGGCAGCAGUGGGGAAUAUUGGACAAUGGGCGAAAGCCUGAUCCAGCCAUACCGCGUGGGUGAAGAAGGCGUUCGGGUUGUAAAGCCCUGUUGUUGGGAAAGAAAAGCAGCAGGUUAAUACCCCGCGGUUCUGACGGUACCCAAAGAAUAAGCACCGGCUAACUUCGUG
This 492-nucleotide ribosomal RNA is filed under the name uncultured bacterium. RNAcentral's name for it is "partial 16S ribosomal RNA". It matches the Rfam family "Bacterial small subunit ribosomal RNA", at positions 29 to 507 of the family's 1533-position model. The record is from RNAcentral.